AUGGAUUUUUCUGGAGUUCCUUCACCUCGAAUGGACUGGGAGUCUACAAACUUACCCGAUGCAUGGCGUAAGUACAAACAGCAUGUGGAGCUAAUGUUCACGGGUCCUCUGAAGGAAAGAGGAGAAGAGGAAAAAUGUAGCUACCUGCUCCUCUGGAUCGGGGAAAAAGGGAGAGAUAUUUACAACACAUGGACACUUACCGAGGCUGAAUCAAAGGUACUGAAAACAUACUACGAUCGUUUUGAAGCAUAUGUUGUGCCGAAGACUAAUACAAUUUUCGCUAGGUACAAAUUCCAUGAGAAAGUACAGGGAGCUAGCGAGUCUUUUGAACAGUUUGUGACUGAGCUGCGUCUGCUUGUGAAAGACUGUGAUUAUGCAAACAAGGAUGAGAUGGUCAGGGACCGUAUUGUAUUUGGGUCUGAGCUAACGCUAGACAAAGCUAUCGACAUAGCCAGAUCUCACGAGCUAGCACAGGCUCAGAUGAAAACCAUUUCGCGCCGCAGCAUGAGCGCAUCACGUGAACAAGCAGUGCACGCAGUCAGGCAGACAUCAAAGCACACCUCCGGUGCCCACAGAGCGCGUUUCAGAACCGAGAGAGACAUAACUCCAAAACAGAGCAACACAGACUCAAAACGCCCCAAAACAUGUGGAUAUUGUGGAUACAAAGUGCGUGGCGAACAAGGAAAUUGCCCAGCUAAAGGCAAACAGUGUACAAAAUGUGGUAAAUGGAAUCACUUUGCAAAAAUGUGCAGAGCUUACCGUGGAAAAACUGUACACACAGUGAGUGAAGAUGAAAUGUCAAAUGAUGAUGAACUGUUUAUUGAUUCAGUGACACAAAAAAGUCACAUAUCAGAGACAGAGCAAGCCUUUGCUGACAUUGAGAUAGGAACACAAGGCACAAAGCUAAAGUUCAAACUAGACACUGGUGCACAAGUAAACAUUAUUCCUCUGAAUAAGUACCGCAGCUUGACAUCUGAGUGCGAGCUACAGCCCACCAUGCGCAGACUGACUGGUUAUGGUGGUGAACAGCUCCCAGUAAAAGGCACAUGCACUUUCAAAUGCAAAUACAAGGAAAGUGACAUGAUGUUGGACUUUUACAUUGUUGACACUAGAGCACCUGCAGUGCUAGGUCUUAAAGCAUGUUUAGACAUGGACCUCAUCAAGCUAGUUUUAUCAGUAACAGCACCAGUAGAGACAGAAAAUGUACUGGAGGAGUUUGCUGAUGUCUUUACAGGAAUAGGAUUAUUCCCAGGAGAAUGUACCAUUCACCUUGACCCAGACGCAACCCCUGUGGUCUACCCCCCGAGAAAGAUUCCCCUUGCUCUCCGUGCCCGUCUGAAGAAAGAGUUGGAGAGCAUGGAGCAAUCUGACAUAGUCACCAAGGUUACAGAACCGACUGACUGGGUAAACGCGUUAGUGGUGGUGGAGAAACCACGCACAGGCAAGCUCCGAGUAUGCCUCGACCCAAGAGACUUGAACAAGGCUAUCAAACGGCCCCAUUACCCUUUACCGACGCUAGAUGGCAUCACACACAAGCUAGCGGGAGCACACUACUUCUGUGUCAUGGACGCUAGAUCAGGCUACUGGGCUAUCAAGCUCACAGAAGAGUCAUCUAAGCUCACAACAUUCAACACACCGUUUGGACGCUACAGGUUCCGUCGCCUGCCUUUUGGGAUUAUCUCAGCCCAAGACGAGUUUCAGCGAAAGAUCGACGAAGUGUACAAAGGCCUCGACGGAGUUGUGGCAAUUGUGGAUGACAUCCUUGUCUAUGGUCGAACCAAAGAGGAGCACAACCGAAACCUCCGCGCGAUGCUGCAAAGACAGGGAAGGCAAUCAAAACGUGAAGGAGUCCAGGUGAGUACAAUGAGCGCUGAUGCGCGUAAUGAUGGUGACCGGUGUGCGUAA
Long non-coding RNA from Salmo trutta (river trout), 1905 nucleotides. The record is from Ensembl. NCBI's taxonomy places the organism in Eukaryota, Metazoa, Chordata, Actinopteri, Salmoniformes, Salmonidae.